ACACCUUGAGAGUGGGCUCAAGGACUGCUCUCUCAAAGUCCUCUGAAAAGGAGCACCAAGAAUAGAAAAAAGGCAUGGUUGGCUACAGCCCACGCUCCAGCUAUCCAGACUAAAUGGAUGGCAGCCAGCUCUGUGCCAGCCUCAUCAUCAGAGACACCUUAGGUGUAUGAGAC
This is a long non-coding RNA of Pipra filicauda (Wire-tailed manakin), 173 nucleotides long. RefSeq lists it as uncharacterized. NCBI's taxonomy places the organism in Eukaryota, Metazoa, Chordata, Aves, Passeriformes, Pipridae. The transcript has 3 exons. The record is from RefSeq and is a predicted model, not a curated record.